ACGAAGGGGGCUAGCGUUGUUCGGAAUUACUGGGCGUAAAGCGUGCGCAGGCGGUUAUGUAAGACAGUUGUGAAAUCCCCGGGCUCAACCUGGGAACUGCAUCUGUGACUGCAUAGCUAGAGUACGGUAGAGGGGGAUGGAAUUCCGCGUGUAGCAGUGAAAUGCGUAGAUAUGCGGAGGAACACCGAUGGCGAAGGCAAUCCCCUGGACCUGUACUGACGCUCAUGCACGAAAGCGUGGGGAGCAAACAGGA
This 253-nucleotide ribosomal RNA is filed under the name uncultured prokaryote. RNAcentral's name for it is "partial 16S ribosomal RNA". It matches the Rfam family "Bacterial small subunit ribosomal RNA", at positions 525 to 777 of the family's 1533-position model. The record is from RNAcentral.